AGACAGAACAGGGAAGCCAGCAGGGGAAGAAAAAGAUGCUGCUGCUCUUGAUGCCUCAAAAACAGCAAGGAAGAACCCAAGCAACUGAUGUACACACCCUUGGAACAAAUCUGCCCCAGAAGUACAAGACACACUCUUCGAAUUCAUGGAAUAAAUGGGAGCUCCUGGCCACAGUGGGAGCCAUGAUCUCUCUCCUUUACAUGUGGCUGUAUUCCCAGAGCUUUCAUUUCCAUGUGGCACAUUUUUAUGCUCAUUUUGGGUACCCCAGUGCUCAGCAUAUUGUUAGGCAAAGAUACGUGAAAAGAGCUGGUGUAGUGAAGGAUGAAGAGAAGGCAAUGCAUUGGUUUAGACAAGCCUCCCAGCAGGACCAUCCUGGUGCUGCCUUUAACCUUGCAGUAGGAACACUGAAAAACAUGACUGCCUCCAUGGAAGCAGGGGAUGUAGAAAUGCUCCUUAAUGUUGCUGCAAAAUGGGGGAUCCAAGAAGCCCAAGAACUUCUGGAGAAUGUUAUUUGGACUAAAAGCAAGCUCUUGCCAACUGAAAGAACCAGGAGUUCUUAUAAACCAUAAUGUGUGCCUGCAUGCUCUUCCUGGAACAUGGGAUGUUCUGCUCUCACUUGUCCACUGUGGCCUUGCAAUGCUUUGUGGCAUUUUCAAUGGAAGCUCCUUUUACUUAUAGUCUCAUAUGCUGCUGCAGCAUUAAUUUGCUGGUUAAAAUCCUUUAAAUGAACAGUCCCCAACCUUUUUGGCACCAGGGACUUGUUU
This is a long non-coding RNA of Homo sapiens (human), 764 nucleotides long. Ensembl annotates it as H2AZ1 divergent transcript. Its record names the gene H2AZ1-DT. Lineage: Eukaryota; Metazoa; Chordata; Mammalia; Primates; Hominidae. The record is from Ensembl.